UAGUGACUUAAUAUGAUGUAUGUUGCUGU
This 29-nucleotide non-coding RNA is filed under the name Rattus norvegicus (Norway rat). Lineage: Eukaryota; Metazoa; Chordata; Mammalia; Rodentia; Muridae. The record is from RNAcentral.